Molecule: long non-coding RNA, 505 nt
Organism: Lolium rigidum
Lineage: Eukaryota; Viridiplantae; Streptophyta; Magnoliopsida; Poales; Poaceae
Exons: 2
Source: RefSeq, a predicted model, not a curated record
GUGUGCAUAGUAUGUCCCAAGACAUUUUACAAUUAGAGAAUUAUGCCGCCAUUUAUAGUGUUCAGUAUUGAGACCAUUGUAUAUUUCUCAGGGUAACUUGCAGAUUAUGGGCACGCCCGAGGGUUGAAGCUUGCUAUUUACAGUGAUGUUGGGUAUGCCAAACACUAAUCUGUUCUCAUUCUGUUGCAACUAAACUCUGCAUACUUCUAUGUGAUUACUUGAGAAUACUGUUUCUAUGACAUGUCUGGCUUGCUGCUGCUGCCGAGCAAAAUCAAUGGCUUCUUCAGUUAAACAAGAUUAUGUUCUCAGGAGCAGAUCUUGGCAACUGAUGCAGAAGUUCCUACAGCUUGGUAAUAUUUUUUUGUUGGGAUGAAUUGACUCGGAAGGAAAAUCAAGCUCUUUUGACAUUUGUUGAGACUAAAGCCUAUGCAUUUACCAGUGAUUUUGUACAUACUUAUACUUAUAUUGUUUACUAAACUUUCUAUAUAUGUAUUUUGGUAAUGCA